ACUCAACACUAACAAAUUAAAAUGAGUAAAUCUUUGCAUCUAAAGCACGCUGCUCACGCAGAUCCUUGAACCGCAAGCUAGCUCAAAACUUGUUUACCUUAGAGUUU
RNAcentral lists this small RNA (107 nucleotides) under Myroides albus. Its description in RNAcentral is "Myroides sp. BIT-d1 6S RNA". It matches the Rfam family "6S-Flavo RNA". The record is from RNAcentral. RNAcentral also lists the same sequence under 1 other name. Lineage: Bacteria; Pseudomonadati; Bacteroidota; Flavobacteriia; Flavobacteriales; Flavobacteriaceae.